UACGGGGGGGGCAAGCGUUGUUCGGAAUUACUGGGCGUAAAGGGCUCGUAGGUGGCCAACUAAGUCAGACGUGAAAUCCCUCGGCUUAACCGGGGAACUGCGUCUGAUACUGGAUGGCUUGAGAUUGGGAGAGGGAUGCGGAAUUCCAGGUGUAGCGGUGAAAUGCGUAGAUAUCUGGAGGAACACCGGUGGCGAAGGCGGCAUCCUGGACCAACACUGACACUGAGGAGCGAAAGCGUGGGGAGCAAACAGG
Molecule: ribosomal RNA, 253 nt
Filed under: uncultured bacterium
Lineage: Bacteria
Description: partial 16S ribosomal RNA
Rfam family: Bacterial small subunit ribosomal RNA
Source: RNAcentral